GUCGUGAGAUGUGGGUUAAGUCCCGUAACGAGCGCAACCCUUGUCCUUAGUUACCAGCACGUUAUGGUGGGCACUCUAAGGAGACUGCCGGUGACAAACCGGAGGAAGGUGGGGAUGACGUCAAGUCAUCAUGGCCCUUACGGCCUGGGCUACACACGUGCUACAAUGGUCGGUACAAAGGGUUGCCAAGCCGCGAGGUGGAGCUAAUCCCAUAAAACCGAUCGUAGUCCGGAUCGCAGUCUGCAACUCGACUGCGUGAAGUCGGAAUCGCUAGUAAUCGUGAAUCAGAAUGUCACGGUGAAUACGUUCCCGGGCCUU
Molecule: ribosomal RNA, 318 nt
Filed under: uncultured Pseudomonas sp.
Lineage: Bacteria; Pseudomonadati; Pseudomonadota; Gammaproteobacteria; Pseudomonadales; Pseudomonadaceae
Description: bacterial SSU rRNA
Rfam family: Bacterial small subunit ribosomal RNA
Source: RNAcentral